This is a long non-coding RNA of Mustela erminea (ermine), 1633 nucleotides long. RefSeq lists it as uncharacterized. The transcript is spliced from 4 exons. The record is from RefSeq and is a predicted model, not a curated record. Lineage: Eukaryota; Metazoa; Chordata; Mammalia; Carnivora; Mustelidae.
UACUAAGGAGGCACGGAUUGCACGGCGCCCUGGGUGUUCUAGGAAACCAAUGAAUCAUGGAACACGACGUCAGAAUCUAAUGCUGUGCCGUCUGGUGACUAAGGGAACAUGAUAAAAUAAAAACCAAAAAAAAAAAAAAAAAAAGGCAGAAAGCUCUGGGGUAGCUCUGGUAGGAACAGGACCGAGCCCCGUACUGGAUGCGUCACCUGGAACCGAGAGCUGGGGUCCAGAUGCAUUUCUCGAUGCAAGUCCUGGUCGGCGGGUUCGGUUGCUGUAAAAGUUACGUCACACCGGCUGACUUAAAGCAGGAGAGUUUCUUCUCUGGAGGCCAGAGCCUAAAUCAAGGUGUGAGGACCACACUCCGGGGGUUUCGGGGAGGGCUGUUCUCCGUCCUCUUCCAGCUACCGUGGCAUCUUGGGCUCAUGCCCAUUUCAUGCCAAACACAGUCCUUGGCCACACUGCUGCCUCCUGUUCUGUCUGUCUGUCUGUCCCUGCGUCUCUCUGGUGAGGACACCUGUUGGCAUCUAUACCCCGCCUAUCAUCUGGGCAAUGUCCCCUCCUCAAGAUCCUUAACUUGUUGUAUCUGCGAAGACCCUUUUUCAAAAUACGAUUCACAUUUACUUUUUUCUUACAUAAGGGAACGCUCACAGAUUCUAGGAAUUAGGACAGGACGUAAAUUUUGGGGGACCACCAUUCAGCCCACGACAGUCUGCCUUGUGGACCCCAAACGUCCACCUUUGUCCCAUGUGCAGGACGCACACACCGUAUCCCGAGAGCCCCUAAAUUCCCAGCCCGUUACAGACUCAGGUCGUGUCAAACACCAUUAGGUCGAGAGUCCCAGAUCCCAUCACGGAUCCAUCUGAGUCAAGGACAGGUGAUACUCCGGAUAUGACCCGUCCCGGGGCAAAUUUCCCCUCCAUCUGAGGGCAGGGAAACUAGAGCAUAAAUUAUCUGCUUCCAAACCACAGCGCUGAGGCGAGGCAGACACCGCAGGUGCGGGCGUCCUCGCGGCGGGAAGAAGCAAGGAGAGGAGGCAGCAGGUCGUCAGUCCCCGGAAGGCUCGACACCCAGGAGGGCAGCUUCUGCCAGGGUCUGCCGGUGCGUGGCUGAUCACACCACUCAUCCUACAAGCAGGGGAGCGCCUACAAAGUCCUGCUUUCAUAUUGAAAUGUUCAGACUCACAAGAAACGCAAAGGCCUCUCGGGUUCCCUCGGCACCCCGCACCGUGCUCCCUCGCAUGGACAUUGUCAAACACGAGAAGUUGACGUCGGGGCAGCACCGUGAACUCGGGCACAGACUUGCUCGGAUCCCACAGUCUCUACCUUGUCACUCAUCGUCUGUGAGGCUCUGAGCCUUCAGAGAAGCAUGACCGCGGCCAAGACUCCGCGCUGUCCCGUCACCCUAAAAACACACCCUAUUCCGUCCCUGGAUAACUCCACUGUCCCCACAGUCCUGCGCCCUGGCCACCCUGGGAGUGACUCUGCUGGGGAGUGUGAGGGAGAAUAUGCAGAAUGCGGUCACCGGGCCGUGCAGUAGUGUCCGUUUCACGGCCCAGGGAACGCCGAGCUGUCCCCCAGCGGAGCGGCUGUCCCCGCCCGGGAUUUUAUGUAUUUAUUUGGAAGACGGAGAUAGG